CAACUUCAGGUGGUGGAUCACU
This 22-nucleotide ribosomal RNA is filed under the name Thaparocleidus siluri. Its description in RNAcentral is "partial 5.8S ribosomal RNA". The record is from RNAcentral. RNAcentral also lists the same sequence under 1 other name. Lineage: Eukaryota; Metazoa; Platyhelminthes; Monogenea; Dactylogyridea; Ancylodiscoididae.